CAGUAGCCGCGGGAAUACAGAGGAUGCAAGCGUUAUCCGGAAUGAUUGGGCGUAAAGCGUCUGUAGGUGGCUUUUCAAGUCCGCCGUCAAAUCCCAGGGCUCAACCCUGGACAGGCGGUGGAAACUACCAAGCUGGAGUACGGUAGGGGCAGAGGGAAUUUCCGGUGGAGCGGUGAAAUGCGCUGAGAUCGGAAAGAACACCAACGGCAAAAGCACUCUGCUGGGCCGACACUGACACUGAGAGACGAAAGCUAGGGGAGCAAAUGGGAUUAGAUACCCGUGUAGUCCCUGUCUCUUAUAC
Molecule: ribosomal RNA, 301 nt
Filed under: uncultured bacterium
Lineage: Bacteria
Description: partial 16S ribosomal RNA
Rfam family: Bacterial small subunit ribosomal RNA
Source: RNAcentral